RNAcentral lists this ribosomal RNA (759 nucleotides) under uncultured Thermococcus sp. RNAcentral describes it as "bacterial SSU rRNA". It matches the Rfam family "Archaeal small subunit ribosomal RNA", at positions 102 to 859 of the family's 1478-position model. The record is from RNAcentral. Lineage: Archaea; Methanobacteriati; Methanobacteriota; Thermococci; Thermococcales; Thermococcaceae.
CGGUAACCUACCCUCGGGAGGGGGAUAACCCCGGGAAACUGGGGCUAAUCCCCCAUAGGCCUGAGGUACUGGAAGGUCCUCAGGCCGAAAGGGGCUCUGCCCGCCCGAGGAUGGGCCGGCGGCCGAUUAGGUAGUUGGUGGGGUAACGGCCCACCAAGCCGAAGAUCGGUACGGGCUGUGAGAGCAGGAGCCCGGAGAUGGACACUGAGACACGGGUCCAGGCCCUACGGGGCGCAGCAGGCGCGAAACCUCCGCAAUGCGGGAAACCGCGACGGGGGGACCCCGAGUGCCGUGGCAUCGCCACGGCUUUUCCGGAGUGUAAAAAGCUCCGGGAAUAAGGGCUGGGCAAGGCCGGUGGCAGCCGCCGCGGUAAUACCGGCGGCCCGAGUGGUGGCCGCUAUUAUUGGGCCUAAAGCGUCCGUAGCCGGGCCCGUAAGUCCCUGGCGAAAUCCCACGGCUCAACCGUGGGGCUUGUUGGGGAUACUGCGGGCCUUGGGACCGGGAGUGGCGGGGGGUACCCCUGGGGUAGGGGUGAAAUCCUAUAGUCCCAGGGGGACCGCCAGUGGCGAAGGCGCCCCGCUGGAACGGGUCCGACGGUGAGGGACGAAGGCCAGGGGAGCAAACCGGAUUAGAUACCCGGGUAGUCCUGGCUGUAAAGGAUGCGGGCUAGGUGUCGGGUGAGCUUCGGGCUCGCCCGGUGCCGUAGGGAAGCCGUUAAGCCCGCCGCCUGGGGAGUACGGCCGCAAGGCUGAAACUUAA